Molecule: ribosomal RNA, 497 nt
Filed under: Cappaea taprobanensis
Lineage: Eukaryota; Metazoa; Arthropoda; Insecta; Hemiptera; Pentatomidae
Description: partial large subunit ribosomal RNA
Rfam family: Bacterial large subunit ribosomal RNA
Source: RNAcentral
GACCUGCUCAAUGAUAAUUAUAUUAAAUAGCCGCAGUAUUUUGACUGUGCGAAGGUAGCAUAAUCAUUUGUCUUUUAAUUGAAGGCUUGAAUGAAUGGUUGGAUGAGGGAAUAUCUUUCUUUACAUUAAUGAAUUGAAGUUAAUUUUUUUGUUAAAAAGCAAAAAUGUUUAAAUGGGACGAGAAGACCCUAUAGAAUUUUACUUUAAUAAAUAAAUUUUAUAUUUAUGGAUUUUACUUUUGAAUUUAUAAUAAAAGUUUUGUUGGGGUGAUGUUAAGAUUUAUAUAACUCUUAUAUUCAUUUAUUUUAUUAAUUUAUAUAUUUUAGAUCCUAUUUGUUAUGGAUAAUUAGAUUAAAUUACCUUAGGGAUAACAGCGUAAUUUUUUUGGUGAGUUCUUAUUAAUAAAAAAGUUUGCGACCUCGAUGUUGGAUUAAAAUAAGAAUUAAGUGCAGAAGCUUAAUUUCUAAGUCUGUUCGACUUUUAAAUUUUUACAUGAU